AGAGGUGUAGUUCCAAUUGGCAGAACGGCGGGCUCCAAAUCCGCGCGAUGAGGGUUCGAGUCCUUCCACCUCUGC
RNAcentral lists this transfer RNA (75 nucleotides) under Achromobacter anxifer. Its description in RNAcentral is "tRNA-Trp". It matches the Rfam family "tRNA". Rfam says of the family: Transfer RNA (tRNA) molecules are approximately 80 nucleotides in length. Their secondary structure includes four short double-helical elements and three loops (D, anti-codon, and T loops). Further hydrogen bonds mediate the characteristic L-shaped molecular structure. tRNAs have two regions of fundamental functional importance: the anti-codon, which is responsible for specific mRNA codon recognition, and the 3' end, to which the tRNAs corresponding amino acid is attached (by aminoacyl-tRNA synthetases). tRNAs cope with the degeneracy of the genetic code in two manners: having more than one tRNA (with a specific anti-codon) for a particular amino acid; and 'wobble' base-pairing, i.e. permitting non-standard base-pairing at the 3rd anti-codon position. Lineage: Bacteria; Pseudomonadati; Pseudomonadota; Betaproteobacteria; Burkholderiales; Alcaligenaceae. The record is from RNAcentral.